UGUAUAUCUGCAUGUGUAUCAGUGUGUCUGUGCAUCUGCAUUUGUGUCAGUACAUGAAUCAAACACUGGCACACAUGCAGAUACUGACAUACAUACAGAUGCACAGACACACUGAUACACACACA
Pelobates cultripes (western spadefoot toad) is the source of this 125-nucleotide non-coding RNA. Lineage: Eukaryota; Metazoa; Chordata; Amphibia; Anura; Pelobatidae. The record is from the annotation of a GenBank genome assembly.